This 497-nucleotide ribosomal RNA is filed under the name uncultured bacterium. RNAcentral's name for it is "partial 16S ribosomal RNA". It matches the Rfam family "Bacterial small subunit ribosomal RNA", at positions 28 to 507 of the family's 1533-position model. The record is from RNAcentral.
GAUGAACGCUGGCGGCGUGCCUAAUACAUGCAAGUCGAGCGAACAGACGAGGAGCUUGCUCCUCUGACGUUAGCGGCGGACGGGUGAGUAACACGUGGAUAACCUACCUAUAAGACUGGGAUAACUUCGGGAAACCGGAGCUAAUACCGGAUAACAUGUUGAACCGCAUGGUUCAACAGUGAAAGACGGUCUUGCUGUCACUUAUAGAUGGAUCCGCGCCGCAUUAGCUAGUUGGUAAGGUAACGGCUUACCAAGGCAACGAUGCGUAGCCGACCUGAGAGGGUGAUCGGCCACACUGGAACUGAGACACGGUCCAGACUCCUACGGGAGGCAGCAGUAGGGAAUCUUCCGCAAUGGGCGAUAGCCUGACGGAGCAACGCCGCGUGAGUGAAGAAGGUCUUCGGAUCGUAAAACUCUGUUAUUAGGGAAGAACAAAUGUGUAAGUAACUAUGCACGUCUUGACGGUACCUAAUCAGAAAGCCACGGCUAACUACGUG